RNAcentral lists this ribosomal RNA (254 nucleotides) under uncultured bacterium. RNAcentral's name for it is "partial 16S ribosomal RNA". It matches the Rfam family "Bacterial small subunit ribosomal RNA", at positions 524 to 776 of the family's 1533-position model. The record is from RNAcentral.
UACGAAGGGGGCUAGCGUUGUUCGGAAUUACUGGGCGUAAAGCGCACGUAGGCGGAUAUUUAAGUCAGGGGUGAAAUCCCAGAGCUCAACUCUGGAACUGCCUUUGAUACUGGGUAUCUGGAGUAUGGAAGAGGUGAGUGGAAUUCCGAGUGUAGAGGUGAAAUUCGUAGAUAUUGGGAAGAACACCGGUGGCGAAGGCGGCUCACUGGCUCAUUACUGACGCUCAGGCGCGACAGCGUGGGGAGUCAAACAGG